RNAcentral lists this ribosomal RNA (440 nucleotides) under uncultured bacterium. RNAcentral describes it as "partial 16S ribosomal RNA". It matches the Rfam family "Bacterial small subunit ribosomal RNA", at positions 338 to 795 of the family's 1533-position model. The record is from RNAcentral.
CCUACGGGAGGCAGCAGUGGGGGAUAUUGCACAAUGGGGGAAACCCUGAUGCAGCGACGCCGCGUGGGUGAAGAAGCGCCUCGGCGCGUAAAGCCCUGUCAGCAGGGAAGAAAAUGACGGUACCUGAAGAAGAAGCCCCGGCGAACUACGUGCCAGCAGCCGCGGUAAAAAGUAGGGGGCAAGCGUUAUCCGGAUUUACUGGGUGUAAAGGGGGCGCAGGCGGCGGUGCAAGCCAGGAGUGAAAGCCCGGGGCCCAACCCCGGGACUGCUCUUGGAACUGCGUGGCUAGAGUGCAGGAGGGGCAGGCGGAAUGCGUGGUGUAGCGGUGAAAUGCGUAGAUAUCAGGAGGAACACCGGUGGCGAAGGCGGCCUGCUGGACUGCAACUGACGUUGAGGCCCGAAAGCGUGGGGAGCAAACAGGAUUAGAUACCCCUGUAGUC